GACGAACGCUGGCGGCGUGGAUUAGGCAUGCAAGUCGAACGGUAUCAUCCUUUCGGGGGUGAGAGAGUGGCGAACUGGUGAGUAACACGUAGGUUAUCUACCCUCAAGACGGGGACAACCCAGGGAAACUUGGGCUAAUACCGGAUGUGAGCAACUUUUAGUUGUUUGAAAGGUGGCGUAAGCUGUCGCUUGGGGAUGAGCCUGCGUCCUAUUAGUUAGUUGGUGAGGUAACGGCUCACCUAGGCAAUGAUAGGUAGGCGGCCUUAACGGGUGGUCGCCCACACUGGGAUUGAGAUACGGCCCAGACUCCUACGGGAGGCAGCAGUCGAGAAUAGUCUACAAUGGUCGGAAGACUGAUAGUGCGACGCCGCGUGAACGAUGAAUCCCUUUCGGGGGUGUAAAAGUUCUUUUAUAUGUGAGCAGUGCUUCUUAUAUUAACAGUAUGGGGAGAGAGAUAUUAGCAUAUGAAUAAGCAACGGCUAACUCCGUGCCAGCAGCCGCGGUAAUA
RNAcentral lists this ribosomal RNA (508 nucleotides) under uncultured bacterium. RNAcentral describes it as "bacterial SSU rRNA". It matches the Rfam family "Bacterial small subunit ribosomal RNA", at positions 28 to 525 of the family's 1533-position model. The record is from RNAcentral.